ACGUCUACGAGUUUGAUCCUGGCUCAGAUUGAACGCUGGCGGAAUGCUUUACACAUGCAAGUCGAGCGGCAGCGCGGGGGCAACCCUGGCGGCGAGCGGCGAACGGGUGAGUAACAUAUCGGAACGUACCCAGUCGUGGGGGAUAACUAUCCGAAAGGAUAGCUAAUACCGCAUACGUCCUGAGGGAGAAAGCGGGGGAUCGCAAGACCUCGCGCGAUUGGAGCGGCCGAUAUCGGAUUAGCUAGUUGGUGGGGUAAAGGCUCACCAAGGCGACGAUCCGUAGCGGGUCUGAGAGGACGACCCGCCACACUGGAACUGAGACACGGUCCAGACUCCUACGGGAGGCAGCAGUGGGGAAUUUUGGACAAUGGGGGCAACCCUGAUCCAGCCAUUCCGCGUGAGUGAAGAAGGCCUUCGGGUUGUAAAGCUCUUUCAGCAGGAACGAAACGGUGGUCCCUAAUACGGACUACUAAUGACGGUACCUGAAGAAGAAGCACCGGCUAACUACGUG
This 511-nucleotide ribosomal RNA is filed under the name uncultured bacterium. Its description in RNAcentral is "bacterial SSU rRNA". It matches the Rfam family "Bacterial small subunit ribosomal RNA", at positions 1 to 507 of the family's 1533-position model. The record is from RNAcentral.